This is a non-coding RNA of Danionella cerebrum, 75 nucleotides long. Lineage: Eukaryota; Metazoa; Chordata; Actinopteri; Cypriniformes; Danionidae. The record is from the annotation of a GenBank genome assembly.
UUUCCUGUGCCUCAGUUGGUAGAGCAUUGCGCUAACAACACAAAGAUUAUCGGUUCACUUCAAAUCCCAGGGCAA